This is a long non-coding RNA of Bos taurus (domestic cattle), 1317 nucleotides long. Lineage: Eukaryota; Metazoa; Chordata; Mammalia; Artiodactyla; Bovidae. The record is from Ensembl.
CGAGAAGGUCCCUGGUCUGGAGGCCUGCUCCCUGACGGUGUACACCACCUGCCUCCAGCAGCUCUUCCAAGACUCUCAGAAUGACAGGCCAGCAAGCUUCGUAGCUGCCCAGCCUCGAGACUAAAGAAAGAGACCAGAGACAACACAGAGACAUCAGUGGUUCACUGGACAGAGGAUCUUACACAGGGGUCCUGGAGGGACACCCCACCAGGGCAAAUGACUUGAGUAGACAGUUUGGCAAAGAAGAAAUACAGCGAACAAGCCAAUGAAAAAAUGCUCAAUAUCAUGUCACUAGGAAAAUGCAAACUAAAACCACUAUGACAUAUCCCCACUAAAGCUGGUAAAACCAGAGACUGACCGUACCAAGUAUUAGCAGGGAUGCACAGCAGCAGGGACUCGGGGUGUUGCUGCUGAGAAUGUGAGGGACAGCUUACUUGAAAACGUCUGGUGGUUCCCUCAAAGACACCCUCGCUCUACAACCUAGCAACCCUGUUCCUGGGUACUUACCAAGAGGUUUAAAUGGGACCACUUGUCCACACCGAGACUUGUCCAUGCAGGCUCAUCACAGAUCACUCAGAACAGAGAAAAACUGGUGGAUGGAUUGAGAAUGAAACGCCUCCCAGCAUCUAAUGAUUCACGCAGCAACGUGGGGGCAGCACAAGGGCAGCCGGCCAGGAGCUAACCCAACUGGGAGACCUCAGAGAGGGCGAUGCAGCCAUGAGUGUUGGGCGGCAAAGGACUUCUCUCAACCUUCUUGUUAUGGGGAUUUCUCAAUAAGCCUGCCCCAGGAGAGGACAGCUGUGACUGGACCUGGCCUGGGCUGGGCUGGGGCACCAGGAUGGGGGCAGAGGGCCUCUCUGCUGCUGGCUUUCGACCUCAGUCCGUGUCCCUGCACCUCGGGGCGGGGCUUUCUCGUGGUCCUGCCUCUCCCAGGAGUAGGCUAUCUCCUCGCGUGCCUCCUCACAGGCAGAGGGCCUCUGCUCCUCCAGCCUCACCCUCCAGCCUCGGUCUCCAUCUGUGUUUUCUGCUGCUCCCUCAGUGACUCCAGGCUUUUGUUCUUUAAAGGAGAGCUUUGAGGGCUUUGAGGAAGCUUUCUUGGCUGCCUGCCCUGCCCCGCCCCGUGAGCACGGUGCGGUCCCUGCGGAGGGCCCCGGGGGUCUCGGCACCCACGGCUCUUGCCCUCAGCUGCCCUGCUCCGUGCGUGCCUGCCGCGCUUCACUAGAAGUCUCAGCUCACCUCCUGCCCAGCUCUGCCCCAUGACCCACUCUCCUGCCCUCCUUGGAGGCCUGUCUGUCUUAGAUCUCAGGCAGCUCCUUG